This 1428-nucleotide ribosomal RNA is filed under the name Lactiplantibacillus pentosus. Its description in RNAcentral is "bacterial SSU rRNA". It matches the Rfam family "Bacterial small subunit ribosomal RNA". Lineage: Bacteria; Bacillati; Bacillota; Bacilli; Lactobacillales; Lactobacillaceae. The record is from RNAcentral.
UCGCUGGCGGCGUGCCUAAUACAUGCAAGUCGAACGAACUCUGGUAUUGAUUGGUGCUUGCAUCAUGAUUUACAUUUGAGUGAGUGGCGAACUGGUGAGUAACACGUGGGAAACCUGCCCAGAAGCGGGGGAUAACACCUGGAAACAGAUGCUAAUACCGCAUAACAACUUGGACCGCAUGGUCCGAGUUUGAAAGAUGGCUUCGGCUAUCACUUUUGGAUGGUCCCGCGGCGUAUUAGCUAGAUGGUGGGGUAACGGCUCACCAUGGCAAUGAUACGUAGCCGACCUGAGAGGGUAAUCGGCCACAUUGGGACUGAGACACGGCCCAAACUCCUACGGGAGGCAGCAGUAGGGAAUCUUCCACAAUGGACGAAAGUCUGAUGGAGCAACGCCGCGUGAGUGAAGAAGGGUUUCGGCUCGUAAAACUCUGUUGUUAAAGAAGAACAUAUCUGAGAGUAACUGUUCAGGUAUUGACGGUAUUUAACCAGAAAGCCACGGCUAACUACGUGCCAGCAGCCGCGGUAAUACGUAGGUGGCAAGCGUUGUCCGGAUUUAUUGGGCGUAAAGCGAGCGCAGGCGGUUUUUUAAGUCUGAUGUGAAAGCCUUCGGCUCAACCGAAGAAGUGCAUCGGAAACUGGGAAACUUGAGUGCAGAAGAGGACAGUGGAACUCCAUGUGUAGCGGUGAAAUGCGUAGAUAUAUGGAAGAACCACCCAGUGGCGAAGGCGGCUGUCUGGUCUGUAACUGACGCUGAGGCUCGAAAGUAUGGGUAGCAAACAGGAUUAGAUACCCUGGUAGUCCAUACCGUAAACGAUGAAUGCUAAGUGUUGGAGGGUUUCCGCCCUUCAGUGCUGCAGCUAACGCAUUAAGCAUUCCGCCUGGGGAGUACGGCCGCAAGGCUGAAACUCAAAGGAAUUGACGGGGGCCCGCACAAGCGGUGGAGCAUGUGGUUUAAUUCGAAGCUACGCGAAGAACCUUACCAGGUCUUGACAUACUAUGCAAAUCUAAGAGAUUAGACGUUCCCUUCGGGGACAUGGAUACAGGUGGUGCAUGGUUGUCGUCAGCUCGUGUCGUGAGAUGUUGGGUUAAGUCCCGCAACGAGCGCAACCCUUAUUAUCAGUUGCCAGCAUUAAGUUGGGCACUCUGGUGAGACUGCCGGUGACAAACCGGAGGAAGGUGGGGAUGACGUCAAAUCAUCAUGCCCCUUAUGACCUGGGCUACACACGUGCUACAAUGGAUGGUACAACGAGUUGCGAACUCGCGAGAGUAAGCUAAUCUCUUAAAGCCAUUCUCAGUUCGGAUUGUAGGCUGCAACUCGCCUACAUGAAGUCGGAAUCGCUAGUAAUCGCGGAUCAGCAUGCCGCGGUGAAUACGUUCCCGGGCCUUGUACACACCGCCCGUCACACCAUGAGAGUUUGUAACACCCAUU